UCCCUGGUGGUCCAGAGGUUAGGACUCCAUGCUUCCACUGCAGAGGACACAGGUUCAAUUCCUGAUUGGAGAA
Molecule: transfer RNA, 73 nt
Filed under: Bos taurus (domestic cattle)
Lineage: Eukaryota; Metazoa; Chordata; Mammalia; Artiodactyla; Bovidae
Rfam family: tRNA
About the family: Transfer RNA (tRNA) molecules are approximately 80 nucleotides in length. Their secondary structure includes four short double-helical elements and three loops (D, anti-codon, and T loops). Further hydrogen bonds mediate the characteristic L-shaped molecular structure. tRNAs have two regions of fundamental functional importance: the anti-codon, which is responsible for specific mRNA codon recognition, and the 3' end, to which the tRNAs corresponding amino acid is attached (by aminoacyl-tRNA synthetases). tRNAs cope with the degeneracy of the genetic code in two manners: having more than one tRNA (with a specific anti-codon) for a particular amino acid; and 'wobble' base-pairing, i.e. permitting non-standard base-pairing at the 3rd anti-codon position.
Source: Rfam by way of RNAcentral